RNAcentral lists this long non-coding RNA (886 nucleotides) under Medicago truncatula (barrel medic). Its description in RNAcentral is "lncRNA gene280". Lineage: Eukaryota; Viridiplantae; Streptophyta; Magnoliopsida; Fabales; Fabaceae. The record is from RNAcentral.
CUCCACGUUGGUCAUCAUUAAUAUUGCUGAAUUUCCCUUCUUCUUCCAUAAUUGACUUAUUUUUAAUUUCCUUGUACGUGCUAUUUGAAGCAUGUCAUGGCAGCUUUCACUUUGGUAGGGCAUAACUCCAAUAUAUAUUUUUCAAAAAAUUGAGAAAUCGUUAUUUAUUAAAGUAUCACUAAUUAUGAUCAAUUAUGAGAUCAAACUCUUACCAUACAUCAUAGACCACUUGCUUAACUAUAAUCUUCAAUAUUGGAGUACUUGCUUAUUUCAUUCUCAAGAAUAUAACAUGUUCCCCCCACUUAGGAGAUUUUAGCUAGGCCCUAGCAAUAUUUCACAAAGAUUCUUGUUACCCUUAUGCAUAUAUGUUUUAUUUUGUAAAGUCAUUACCUGGUAUCAUUAUGCAUGUGUUUCUAUCAAUCAUUGUUAUUGCUCCCUUUUCUGACUCCAAUUGUGCUUUCAUUUUCUUGGGGACCAAUGGUGGGUCAUCAUUGAUGAGGCUUUAGUAAUGGCUAUUUAUUAGUGUCACUAACAAUACGUUCAACAUGCUUCAUAGAAGGUAUAUUAUUGAAAAUUUAUUGGAGUCUCCAAUUGUCAUGGUCUUUCAAUUAAGCAAUGCAUAUGUGGCCAAAUUCAUUUUAUGAGCUAGUUUUUAAGAGUGGGAUCUAAAUCCAUUUCAUGGUAUCAGAGCUGGAUUUUGCAGGGCAUGUAAGAAUUGGACCUAGUCACAUCGUGUGAAAGUGGAUACUGAAGUUAUAUUUGAGUCUCACAUUGUCAAAGUGUAUGAGUUAGUUUUUAAGAGUAAGAUCCAAAUUCAUUUAACACAUGUAUACCACGACAACAAAACUUAAAACUACUCUGCAUACUUGAGCAAACAGCUUGAUUU